RNAcentral lists this long non-coding RNA (366 nucleotides) under Physcomitrium patens. Its description in RNAcentral is "long non-coding RNA (PPAT_LNC012573)". Lineage: Eukaryota; Viridiplantae; Streptophyta; Bryopsida; Funariales; Funariaceae. The record is from RNAcentral.
AGUUCGAUUUUCAUUGGAGUUUUUUUUGGAAAGAUCAAGGGAAUUAGAGAGAGGAGCUUCAUGCUUCGGGUCGGGGAAGGAAAGACAUAGAAUUUGGAUUUUUCUUCUUCGUAGAGUUUUGGGACGACUGAGGCAAUCGCUGCUGAAGUCAGUAUUGUAAUGGUGAAUCAGGAUUUUUAAAUGAAGUGGGUUUGAAUACUCUUGACUGUUUUAUAAAAUCGAGUUACGUCUGUGAUUGAAGGAUUAAAAGGGUGUCUAUAGGAUUGAGUAUGCGGAGUGAAUAAAAUUUAUUGGGUUAAUCUAACAGGACAGUCAGUGGAUACAAGAUCGUAAGUACAAAGGAGUAUUGAAGAUUAACAGUUUGGG